This 468-nucleotide ribosomal RNA is filed under the name uncultured bacterium. RNAcentral's name for it is "partial 16S ribosomal RNA". It matches the Rfam family "Bacterial small subunit ribosomal RNA", at positions 28 to 507 of the family's 1533-position model. The record is from RNAcentral.
GACGAACGCUGGCGGCGUGCUUAACACAUGCAAGUCGAACGGAAAGGCCCUGCUUUUGUGGGGUUCUCGAGUGGCGAACGGGUGAGUAACACGUGAGUAACCUGCCCUUGACUUUGGGAUAACUUCAGGAAACUGGGGCUAAUACCGGAUAGGAGCUCCUGCUGCAUGGUGGGGGUUGGAAAGUUUCGGCGGUUGGAGAUGGACUCGCGGCUUAUCAGCUUGUUGGUGGGGUAGUGGCUUACCAAGGCUUUGACGGGUAGCCGUCCUGAGAGGGUGACCGGCCACAAUGCGACUGCGAUAGGGAGCAGACUGCUACGGGAGGCAGCAGUGGGGAAUAUCGCACAAUGGGCGGAAGCCUGAUGCAGAAACGCUGCGUGCGGGAUGACCGCUUUCGGGUUGUAAACCGCGUUAGCCUGUGACGAAGCGUGAGUGACGGUAAUGGGUAAAGAAGCACCGGCUAACUACGUG